RNAcentral lists this ribosomal RNA (440 nucleotides) under uncultured bacterium. RNAcentral's name for it is "partial 16S ribosomal RNA". It matches the Rfam family "Bacterial small subunit ribosomal RNA", at positions 338 to 795 of the family's 1533-position model. The record is from RNAcentral.
CCUACGGGAGACUGCAGUGGGGGAUAUUGCACAAUGGGGGGAACCCUGAUGCAGCGACGCCGCGUGGGUGAAGAAGCGCCUCGGCGCGUAAAGCCCUGUCAGCAGGGAAGAAAAUGACGGUACCUGAAGAAGAAGCCCCGUCUAACUACGUGCCAGCAGCCGCGGCAAUACGUAGGGGGCAAGCGUUAUCCGGAUUUACUGGGUGUAAUGGGGGCGCAGACGGCGAUGCAAGCCAGUAGUGAAAGCCCGGGGCCCAACCCCGGGACUGCUCUUGGAACUGCGUGGCUGGAGUGCAGGAGAGGCAGGCGGAAUGCCUGGGGUAGCGGUGAAAUGCGUAGAUAUCAGGAGGAACACCGAUGGCGAAGGCGGCCUGCUGGACUGCAACUGACGUUGAGGCCCGAAAGCGUGGGGAGCAAACAGGAUUAGAUACCCUGGUAGUC